Long non-coding RNA from Culex pipiens pallens (northern house mosquito), 1229 nucleotides. RefSeq lists it as uncharacterized. The record is from RefSeq and is a predicted model, not a curated record. Lineage: Eukaryota; Metazoa; Arthropoda; Insecta; Diptera; Culicidae. The transcript has 3 exons.
UUGAACUGCGAUGAAAUCGAAAACAUCGUUUGUUUUCGAAUUCGUUUCAAAUGUUGUCAAAAACGAAAACAUUUUCCUCAAAUUCGAAACAUUUUGUUUUCAAAAACGUCCCCCGUUUUCCUCACCGAUUUUUUGAGGCGUAACAUCUGUCAAACGCAGCCUAAAACAAACGUCAAAUGCGCGAGUGAAACAGAUUGUUUGUGUUUCAGUUUAUUUAUUUUUUUCGGUAAAGCCAGAAUCAGACAUCGGAUUGUGGAUUCCGGUGGAAUUUAUGCCGUAAAGGCAAGGUCAAGUUGCAGCGGGAAGAUGUGGCCUUCUCCUCGGGCGCGGCAGCCGAAGCAGCACCACCACCGGGCGGAAUCGAUGUCAGCUUCUCGCGGCUGGAAGCGAUCCAUUCCUUGACGGGACUUGCCCUUCAGUUCGUUGUCCACCUUGGUGACACUGAUCGAGUCAAGAUCUUCUCAGGAUUGUGGAUUCCGGUGGCAUUCAUGCCGUAAGGGAAAGACAAGUUUGCGGCCCGGUGCAAAGCCGUCGGACGCGGGCCAUUCGGAGAGCACGGCCGACGAGGGAGGAGUGGUAGUGCAGCGAGAAGUAUUGAACUUCUCCUCGGCGGCGGCAACCGGAGCGGCACCACCAUCGGUCGGCAGCGUUCAAUUCCUCGACGGAUUUGACGGUGCGGCGUUUCCGUUUUUUAUUAUCAUGGGGACACGAAACAAGGACAGCAUUAAAUGUGCUGAAGAAACCUCGAUGGAACUCGAAUACGGGUAACUGGUUCCUGCGGUACCAGAAGUGACACAAGGUGCUGCCAAUGCCGUUGAUUCCAGUCCCCCAGAAGCUUGAUAUGAAGCCCCCUCGAAUCGAACCACGACGACAAGGAGAGCGGCCCGGCUGGCGUACCUGUCCGGUGGAGCCGUUCCACGACAAAUUACGCACACCUCGAGCUACGUCGGCAUCCUGGAGGCGAUCCCAACCAAGUCGAAUAGCGCCCGUAAGGAGAGGUUAAGAAUUCGGAGUUUGCGCAGAAGAAAAAGCAGGCAGCAUCCACACACACACACACACACACACACACACACACACACACACACACACACUCAAACUCUACCACUCCAAAACUCACAUCAAACAUACCAAAAUUCGACGAUUCAUAGUUUCCAAAAUUCUAAAAUUGUAUCCUACAAUUCUUAACUGCUAAAGCUCUUAAAUUCCAAGCUUAAAAAAAACAAAAUUUC